This is an RNA transcript of Melospiza melodia melodia, 5593 nucleotides long. It is a transcript of the gene named bridging integrator 3, with no coding region annotated. The transcript has 4 exons. NCBI's taxonomy places the organism in Eukaryota, Metazoa, Chordata, Aves, Passeriformes, Passerellidae. The record is from RefSeq and is a predicted model, not a curated record.
GUCUGUACAGAAUUUUUUCUCCUAGUGCUGUAUUUCCUUAAAUAUUAUUUUUUAUAUGAUUUUUUUAAAAAACAGUAACCCACUUUUUUUUCUCAGUCCCCCUCCCUCUGCUUCGGUUCUAUCCACAGGACGGCACAGCGAGACCCCGCUGGGUGACCCCGACGGCGACCGGCUCCGUCCUCGCGUCCCGUCCUUCCCGGGAUGGGGGCACCAGAUUGGGAUGGGGGAACCCCACUGGGAUGGGGGAACCCAACUGGGACUGGGGGAACCCCACCCGGGAUGGGGGAACCCAAUUGGGACUGGGGGAACCCCACCAGGAUUGGGGGAACCCCACCAGGAUGGUGGAACCCCACCGGGAUGAGGGAACCCAAACAGGAUGGGGGGAACCCAACCAGGAUGGGGGCACCCAACCAGGAUGGGGGUCACCUGACUGGGAUGGGGAGAACCCCACUGGGAUGGGGGAACCCCACCAGGAUGGGGGAACCCCACCGGAAUGGGGGAACCCAAUUGGGACUGGGGGAACCCCACCAGGAUUGGGGGAACCUAACUGGGAUGGGGGGCACCCCUCCAGGAUGGUGGAAUCCCACUGGGACUGGGGGAACCCAAUCUUGAUGGGGGGCACCCAACCAGGAUGGUGGAACCCCACCAGGAUGGGAGCACCUAACUGGGAUGGAGGCACCCCACCAGGAUUGGGGGAACCCCACCAGGAUGGGGAGAACCCAACCAGGAUGGGGGCACCCAACCAGGACGGUGGAACUCCACCCGGAUUGGGGGAACCCUUCCAGGAUGAGGGCACCCCUCCAGGAUGGGGGGACCUAACUGGGAUGGGGGCACCCCACUGGGAUGGGGGGAACCCAACCAGGAUGGGGGAACCCCUCCGGGAUGGGGAGAACCCAACCAGGAUGGGGGCACCCGACCAGGAUAGGGGCACCCCAUUGAGACAGGGGAACCCCAUUGGGAUGGGGGCGCCCAACCUGGAUGGGGGGCACCAGACUGGGAUGGGGGCACCCCACCAGGAUAGGGGCACCCCACUGGGAUGGGGGAACCCGACCAGGAUGGGGGAACCCAACCUGGAUGGGGGAACCCAACCUGGAUGGGGGUCAUCUGAUUGGUAUGGGUGCACCCACCUAGGAUUGGGGCACCCGAUCAUCAUGGGGGCACCCAACCAGCAUGUGGGGCACCCACCUGGCAUGAGGACACCCAACCAGCACGGGGCCACCCACCCUCUCCCCAAAAAUCCGCCGUGUCCUUGCUUUGCCCUUGACCCCUCAUCCUGUUUCCCCCCGCUCGUGCCGCCGCCGCCCUGACCCCGUCACCAUUUUGCCGGGAUAACUUUGGGCCUCCAAAGAGGAUCCAAAGAGGAUCCAAAGAGGAUCGCGCCGCUUCAGCCGGUAAUGCCCCCGCGCCCUCCGCCGCCAAAUCGCCCCGGGGACAGCGCCUGCAGGGGAUUUUUUUUUCCCAGCCUGGAUCGCUGGGGAUAAAAAUAAAUCGCUGGGUUUCAGCGCUGGCGCUCGCACGGGCACGAGGAACGAGUGGGAGAAGGAGUUUGGAGGCGCUCGCAUGUUUGGAGUGGUGGAGCGCGGUGGCUGGAUCCUUCCCCAGGUUUGGGAUGGAGCCGGAAUUUCGGAGUUGGGGUCGUGCUGGAGGAUCCCAGACGGGGUCUGGGGGUCCCUUGGUGCUUUGCGUGACCGGUUGAGUGUCCCACAAGUGUCCCCUUCCCAGGGCCUUGCUGGCAGGGCUGGUGGCAGGCAGUGGCACCGUGGUCUUCCCCGGUGUUCCCAGGGUAUGAAAGCGUUGGCAUUGUUGUCAGAUUUCCUGAUUUUGAUUUGGAUCUGCAGCUAGGCCUGGAAUGGUUGCUGCUCUGGCCAUUCCAGGGCGGCUCUGCCCAUUGCAGGGGGUUUGUUGAGCUCCCUGGCUUGGAAAUCUUUAAUUCUGGGGACAAUCCAGGCUCUGAAGGUGACUCAGGGCACAGCUGGCCCAGACAGGGAUGGCAUCUCGUGCUGUUGAGGACUUGGCGUUGGUGCUGCACCAGAUCUCUGUGCUGAUUCUUGGAGUGUUUGGUGGCCACGUGAGGCUGGACUGGGAUGAGCUGGGAUUGUCCUCCCCUGUGUGCUCUGGAGGUCCUGCAGCCAGCAGGGGCUGCGGGACGGCUUGGGAGCCAUCGGUGUCCCCGUGGUGUCCCCACGUGUGGCUCAAGGGGGCAGGACCCAGAGCUGCCACACACAGGGAGAGCCACCACGGCCCCCAGCAUCACCUGAGGGUGCUGUGCUGGUGCUGGUGCUGCUGGAGGUGCCCAUCUGCCCAUCUCCACCGGUGGCUCAUGCUGGAAAACGCUGGAGAGACCCUGGGAACGGGCACAGCAGAGGAGCUGCCCCGGUGAGGAGCCACCCAACGUUCCACCAACGCUUUGGGCUCUUUCUGAGGGCGAGGAGCAGGGCAGGAGCCCAGCAGGCCCUGGGGACCCUCUGUGGCAGCCAGGCCUGGGCAGGACACCCCCUGGCACGGAGCAGGAAGGUGAGGAGCACCCUUGGGUGGCAAAGCGCGGGGAGUGCGUGCAGCACCUUGCACGAAAAAUGUUGGUUGCUACGGAAACACGGCACUUUCCAUCCCCGUUCUGGGCUAUCUGUGUUCUGGGGAGGAGGGAAGGGCUUCCAGUCACGUACCAGCUCCACACAACUUGCUGCCUUCGCCUCUCAACGGGAGCAGCGGGGUCCUGAGGAGGCCACCAACACCUCGCUCCUCCCCGCUGAGGGUCCUCGGGGCUCUGCAGGACGUGGAUGGAUCCAAGAGCUCUCCACGGGAUGGGAUUUGCUGCUCAGGAGGAGCACCAAGAGCUGGGACCCCGUCCCUGGGUCAGGAGUGAAGAGGACCCACAGCCAGAAGCUCCGGGAUUGCAGCUGGAGUACAGAUGUUGGUGGGAUCCUUCCCUGAUCUUCUCACCUCUGGCCCAGCAGGAGACAGCACCCACAGAAGGCCUGGAUGGUUCUGGAUCACCUCUGACCUCAUCUCCCGCCCCGUGGGACCGUGUGGAUCCAUGCCCAUCCCCUCUGGAGGACAGGCCACACUCAUCCUCCCCCUGGGACAGGGGGACAAACAGCAGAGCCUCCACAGAAGGUGCUCCCCGUGGCCACCAGGACGUCAGAGCCAGGCUUGUCCCAUCCUGGUGACACUGAGGGGCACCACGGUGGGGACAGGCCCAGGAGCAACAACCUGGCCCAGCAGGCAGCAAAACCCUCCUGUCCCAGCCUUCCUCUUCCUCUUCCUCAUCACUUGGAUGGGAUGCGGGACCCUCACGGCUGCCUCCCCUCGGGGUUUGCUCUGACACCCACCAGCACCCCAAAACCCAUCCCUUCCCCUCAGCCCCCCUGCCAACGUCCCCUCUGCACCCACCCUGGCACAAAACGGGACAAUGGUGGCGGUUGCCACCCUGGCACGGUGCCCCCCCCGCCCGGAUCUGCCCCCUCCCUGCUCCUUUUGGGCUAAUCCCUGUCCUCAGCGGUGUCGGUAACACCUUCCCAGUUUAGCAUCAUCCUGCCUGCCUGUAAUUACCGUGCUGUUUACCUCCACCUGCUAAUUGAUAAAGCCAGCCCUGGCGCCCGGCCCGGGGCCGCCGCCCCGUGCGCUGGCAUGUGGCUGCUGUCACCGGCCCGGUGGCACCGGGGCUGUCCCCACGCCAGGAUGGCACCCCGACCUCGGGGGGCUCUGCUGCAUCCCGGGCUCACGGAUGGAUGGGGCUGAUGGGUCAGUGCUGAGGGCACGGUGGGUUUGUGGUCACCAAAAGGACUUUGCUGUCCCUCCCACCCCUGUCCAGCCUCCUCAAGAUGGAUUUGGGGGGGGUUUCUGCCCAAAGUUGGGGGGCUCCUGCUCUUCCAGUUGGAUUUGCCUGACUGGGGCAGUUCUGCUCCUCCCCGUGCCCUCACCCACCCCAGGGAAUAACCCUGGGCACCCCCUGCCCAUCCCCUUCCCUGUGCCCUCGCCCACCCCAGGGAAUGCUCCUGGGCACCCUCUCCGUGCCCUCAUCCAGCUCAGGAUGCUGCCAGGCAGUUCCUGACCCUCGCCCACCCCAGGAAUGCUCCUGGGCAUCCCCUCCCUGUGCCACUGCCCACUCCGGGCUGUUCCUGGGCAUUCCAGGCUCCUGCCCUCACCCACUUCUGGGUUGUUCCUGGGCAUUCCCUCCCUGUGCCCUCACCCACCCUGGGCUGGAUCCAGGCAAUUCCUUCUUGCCCACCAUCAAAUUCCUUCUCCUUGCCCACCUUGGGGUUGACCCAUUAAAUUCUUUCUCCUCGCCCGUCCUGGGGUUGAUCCUGGCAAUUCCUUCUUGCCCAUCAUUAAAUUCCUUCCUGUUGCCCACCUGGAGUUGAUCCAGGCAAUUCCUUCUCCUUGCCCACCCCAGGGAUGAUCCAGACAAUUCCAUCUUGCCCAUCCCGGACUGAUCCAGGCAAUUCCUUCUCCUUGCUCACCCUGGGGUUGAUCCAUGAAAUUCCUUCUUUUCCACCCCAGGGGUGAUCCACAAAAUUCCUUCUCUUUGCCCACCCUGGGGUUGAUCCAGGCAAUUCCAUCUUGCCCAUCCCGGACUGAUCCAAGCCAUUCCUUCUUGCCCAUUUUGGAGCUGAUCCAUGAAAUUCUUCCUCCUUGCCCAUCCCAGACUGAUCCAGGCCAUUCCUUCUUGCCCAUUUUGGGGCUGAUCCAUGAAAUUCCUUCCCCUUGCCCAUCCCGGACUGAUCCAGGCCAUUCCUUCUUGCCCAUUUUGGGGCUGAUCCAUGAAAUUCCUUCCCCUUGCCCAUCCCGGACUGAUCCAGGCCAUUCCUUCUUGCCCAUUUUGGGGCUGAUCCAUGAAAUUCCUCCUCCUUGCCCAUCCCAGGGCUGAUCCAGGCAGUUCCUUCUCCCGGCCUACCCCAAGGACUCUCCACAGCUCCCAGCCGUUUAUCUCCACCCCUCCCGCCCCAUUUGCAGCCCUUUUCACCGAAACCGGGCGAAUUUCGGGAUUUUCUCCCGGCGCGCCUUCCCCGUGACGUCACGCCCCCUCCCGCCAUGUGACGUCACGCCCCCGCCGCGUGGCGUCACCGCAGCGCGCGGCCCCGGCGGGUGAGCGCUGGCGGAAGGGGCGGGGCUAAAACCGGCGGCACUUCCGGGAGCGGCGCGGGGCGGAGGGGGAACAUGAGCUGGUAGCUCCAAGCCAAUGCUCUGGUUGAGCCACAACCGUGUUUCACAACCGUGCUUAAAAUGGAUAUUUUUGUAGCAUAGUCAGGGCCUAAAACAGCCCUGCAAAAUUCUGCUCGCCCACGCGCCUGGCGUGAGUAAUUUUCUUUUGAUGGGAUGCGGAGGGACCCGUUCCCAGGAGCUCAUCCCUCCGCUGCCAAACUUCAGCAAGCGGCUCGCCCUGACAUCCCUGCGUGCCUUAAACCUCCAAGUUCCCAAGGAUGGGGCUGAAAUCCAAAAUCCAGGUGGGAGCACUCACCUGCUUCAUUCCCGAGGGAUCCCAUCCCCACAUCCUCCUCUCUCUCCCCACCCUGUGACCUCCCCUCUCAUCUCCUCGAGGAGAGCACCCAAACGGGGAUUUGGCGCAGAGUCUCCCUCGACAGAAGCUGUUUGU